GAAGCAGGGCGGGUGAUCGCUGGUCCCCCCAGGGGGGCCCAGAGGAAAGUCCGGACUCCGCAGGGCAGGGUGCUGGGUAACGCCCAGUGGGGGGAACCCCAAGGAAAGUGCCACAGAAAACAGACCGCCCUGGCGGGGAUCCCGCCGGGGUAAGGGUGAAAAGGUGAGGUAAGAGCUCACCGCAGUCCGGGUGACGGCGCCGGGUAACCGGUGCCCUAGACGAAUGAUCACCACCCCCGGGCCGGGUCACUGGCCCGGCCCAGGGGGGACAGAAUCCGGCUUACGCCCUGUCUUCAGCC
Molecule: RNase P RNA, 299 nt
Filed under: Deltaproteobacteria bacterium
Lineage: Bacteria; Pseudomonadati; Myxococcota; Myxococcia
Description: RNase P RNA component class A
Rfam family: Bacterial RNase P class A
About the family: Ribonuclease P (RNase P) is a ubiquitous endoribonuclease, found in archaea, bacteria and eukarya as well as chloroplasts and mitochondria. Its best characterised activity is the generation of mature 5'-ends of tRNAs by cleaving the 5'-leader elements of precursor-tRNAs. Cellular RNase Ps are ribonucleoproteins.
Source: RNAcentral